This is a small nuclear RNA of Neomonachus schauinslandi (Hawaiian monk seal), 103 nucleotides long. The record is from RefSeq and is a predicted model, not a curated record. NCBI's taxonomy places the organism in Eukaryota, Metazoa, Chordata, Mammalia, Carnivora, Phocidae.
GUCAUUAAGCAGCACCCAUACUAAAACUGGAAUGAUACAGAGAAGAUUAGCAUGGCCCCUGUGCAAGGAUGAUACACAAAUUUGAGAAGCAUUCCAUGUUUUU